UGGUGCGAUGAUACUAGCACUAAUGCACCGGAUCCCAUCAGAACUCUGCAGUUAAGCAUGCUCGGGCGAGAGUAGUACUAGGAUGGUCGACCUCUUGGGAUGUCCUCGUGUUGCACACC
Molecule: non-coding RNA, 119 nt
Organism: Gossypium arboreum
Lineage: Eukaryota; Viridiplantae; Streptophyta; Magnoliopsida; Malvales; Malvaceae
Source: Rfam